This is a long non-coding RNA of Cyprinus carpio carpio, 337 nucleotides long. The record is from Ensembl. Lineage: Eukaryota; Metazoa; Chordata; Actinopteri; Cypriniformes; Cyprinidae.
UCGACAUAAUGAGGUUAGUGAGUAUGAGGAAAGUCGAUUUUCGCAAAGACGAAAAUUCAACAAUAUGUUUCUCAUAUGCACACUUUUGGAUUAAUAGUCGUAAAGUGCCACUUGAAAUUUCCCAGAGGUCGCGUGAUUAUACAGGCCUGCUGUGGAAACCAUGUCACUGCCCCAGUUCAGACUAUCUAUAAACAGCAAUGAGCUCUCAGAGAUGUCUGCUUUACAUCAGAGAGGUCCUGAAGGGAUGGAUCAGGUUCAUCUUUGUUCCUGCGGUAAAACAAGAGGGAGCCAAAAUGCUAAAAUCCCUCUUUUGAUGUCGACAGCAAACCGUGGGGAG